Molecule: ribosomal RNA, 446 nt
Filed under: uncultured prokaryote
Description: bacterial SSU rRNA
Rfam family: Bacterial small subunit ribosomal RNA
Source: RNAcentral
UGGGGAAUCAUGGUCAAUGGGCGAAAGCCUGAACCUGCGACGCCGCGUGAGUGAUGAAGGUCGUAAGAUCGUAAAACUCUUUUCAGGGAUCUUAAAGCCUGUCUGUCAACAACAGGCAGGUCUGACUCUCCCUGGAAGAAGCCCCAGCCAACUACGUGCCAGCAGCUGCGGUAAUACGUAGGGGGCGAGCGUUAUUCGGAAUUACUGGGUGUAAAGGGUAUGUAGGCGGCCCUUCAAGUCGCGUGUCAAAGUCCAGUGCUCAACGCUGGGUGUGCACGCGAUACUGACGGGCUUGAGGGCUGGAGAGGUGAGCGGAAUUCCCGGUGUAGUGGUAAAAUACGUAGAGAUCGGGAGGAACACUAGCGGCGCAGGCGGCGCACUAGACAGUUUCUGAAGCUAAGAUCCGCAAGAGCGUCAGACAAACAUAAUUAGGCACCCCAGUAGUC